GACGAACGCUGGCGGUGUGCCUAAUACAUGCAAGUCGGGCGGACGAAUCGAAAGCUUGCUUUUGUUUCGUUAGCGGCGGACGGGUGAGUAACACGUGGGCAACCUGCUCUGUAGACGGGGAUAACACCGAGAAAUCGGUGCUAAUACUGGAUAACACGAAAUGUCGCAUGACGUUUCGUUGAAAGACGGCGCAAGCUGCCGCUACAGGAUGGGCCCGCGGCGCAUUAGCUAGUUGGUGAGGUAACGGCUCACCAAGGCGACGAUACGUAGCCGACCUGAGAGGGUGAUCGGCCACACUGGGACUGAGACACGGCCCAGACUCCUACGGGAGGCAGCAGUAGGGAAUCUUCCGCAAUGGGCGAAAGUCUGACGGAGCAACGCCGCGUGAGCGAAGAAGGCCUUCGGGUCGUAAAGCUCUGUUGUUAGGGAAGAACAAGUAACGCAGUAACUGGCGUUACCGUGACGGUACCUAACGAGAAAGCCACGGCUAACUACGUG
Molecule: ribosomal RNA, 498 nt
Filed under: uncultured bacterium
Lineage: Bacteria
Description: partial 16S ribosomal RNA
Rfam family: Bacterial small subunit ribosomal RNA
Source: RNAcentral